This 429-nucleotide ribosomal RNA is filed under the name Chloroflexota bacterium. RNAcentral's name for it is "Chloroflexi bacterium partial 16S ribosomal RNA". It matches the Rfam family "Bacterial small subunit ribosomal RNA", at positions 355 to 776 of the family's 1533-position model. Lineage: Bacteria; Bacillati; Chloroflexota. The record is from RNAcentral.
UGGGGAAUAUUGCACAAUGGGCGCAAGCCUGAUGCAGCCAUGCCGCGUGUAUGAAGAAGGCCUUCGGGUUGUAAAGUACUUUCAGCGGGGAGGAAGGGAGUAAAGUUAAUACCUUUGCUCAUUGACGUUACCCGCAGAAGAAGCACCGGCUAACUCCGUGCCAGCAGCCGCGGUAAUACGGAGGGUGCAAGCGUUAAUCGGAAUUACUGGGCGUAAAGCGCACGCAGGCGGUUUGUUAAGUCAGAUGUGAAAUCCCCGGGCUCAACCUGGGAACUGCAUCUGAUACUGGCAAGCUUGAGUCUCGUAGAGGGGGGUAGAAUUCCAGGUGUAGCGGUGAAAUGCGUAGAGAUCUGGCGGAAUACCGGUGGCGAAGGCGGCCACCUGGACAAAGACUGACGCUCAGGUGCGAAAGCGUGGGGAGCAAACAGG